This 497-nucleotide ribosomal RNA is filed under the name uncultured bacterium. RNAcentral's name for it is "partial 16S ribosomal RNA". It matches the Rfam family "Bacterial small subunit ribosomal RNA", at positions 28 to 507 of the family's 1533-position model. The record is from RNAcentral.
GAUGAACGCUGGCGGCGUGCCUAAUACAUGCAAGUCGAGCGAACAGACGAGGAGCUUGCUCCUCUGACGUUAGCGGCGGACGGGUGAGUAACACGUGGAUAACCUACCUAUAAGACUGGGAUAACUUCGGGAAACCGGAGCUAAUACCGGAUAAUAUAUUGAACCGCAUGGUUCAAUAGUGAAAGACGGUUUUGCUGUCACUUAUAGAUGGAUCCGCGCCGCAUUAGCUAGUUGGUAAGGUAACGGCUUACCAAAGCAACGAUGCGUAGCCGACCUGAGAGGGUGAUAGGCCACACUGGAACUGAGAAACGGUCCCGACUCCUACGGGAGGCAGCAGUAGGGAAUCUUCCGCAAUGGGCGAAAGCCUGACGGAGCAACGCCGCGUGAGUGAUGAAGGUCUUCGGAUCGUAAAACUCUGUUAUUAGGGAAGAACAAAUGUGUAAGUAACUAUGCACGUCUUGACGGUACCUAAUCAGAAAGCCACGGCUAACUACGUG